AACGUAGGGGGCAAGCGUUGUCCGGAAUUACUGGGCGUAAAGCGCGCGCAGGUGGGUAGGUAAGACAGACGUGAAAGGCUAGAGCUAAACUGUAGCAUUGCGUAUGAGACUGCCUAUCUUGAGUACAGCAGAGGAAAGUGGAAUUCCCGGUGUAGUGGUGAAAUGCGUAGAUAUCGGGAGGAAUACCAGUGGCGAAGGCGGCUUUCUGGGCUGUUACUGACGCUGAGGCGCGAAGGCGUGGGGAGCGAACCGA
This 253-nucleotide ribosomal RNA is filed under the name uncultured bacterium. RNAcentral describes it as "partial 16S ribosomal RNA". It matches the Rfam family "Bacterial small subunit ribosomal RNA", at positions 524 to 776 of the family's 1533-position model. The record is from RNAcentral.